AAUUUUCGGCAAUGGGGGCAACCCUGACCGAGCGACGCUGCGUGAGUGAAGAAGGUCUUCGGAUUGUAAGGCUAUGUUGUUUGGGAAGAACCGUACCAGUAGGGAAUGACUGGUACGUGACGGUACCAUACCAGCAAGCCACGGCAAACUACGUGCCAGCAGCCGCGGUAAUACGUAGGUGGCAAGCGUUAUCCGGAAUUAUUGGGCGUAAGGGGAGCGCAGGCGGCUUAUUAAGUCUGAGGUUAAAGUUCGGGGAUCAACCCCGUGAUGCCUUAGAAACUGGUAGGCUAGAGUGCAGGAGAGGUGAGUGGAAUUCCAUGUGUAGCGGUAAAAUGCGUAGAUAUAUGGAGGAACACCAGUGGCGAAGGCGGCUCACUGGCCUGUAACUGACGCUGAGGCUCGAAAGCGUAGGGAGCAAAUA
RNAcentral lists this ribosomal RNA (421 nucleotides) under uncultured bacterium. RNAcentral's name for it is "partial 16S ribosomal RNA". It matches the Rfam family "Bacterial small subunit ribosomal RNA", at positions 360 to 774 of the family's 1533-position model. The record is from RNAcentral.